AACAUCCUAAAUAGUACGUAUAGUGACUAGUUCUUUAAAAUCCGAACACUUCUAUUAAGGGAAUCUGAUUCUCAAAUUCCGUGUUGAAUGCCUAGCUUUUUCACCUAGGAAUCCUAAAGAAUUUGAUAAGAUACCCACCUGCUAAUUUGGCGGGUUUAUAUCCUAGCACUUACGGCAUUUUGGGACUAAA
This 190-nucleotide non-coding RNA is filed under the name Turicibacter sp. RNAcentral describes it as "6S RNA". It matches the Rfam family "6S / SsrS RNA". From Rfam's summary of the family: E. coli 6S RNA was the first non coding RNA to be sequenced, but its function was unknown until recently. It consists of 184 nucleotides that fold into an extended hairpin structure with a large single-stranded internal bulge. Lineage: Bacteria; Bacillati; Bacillota; Erysipelotrichia; Erysipelotrichales; Turicibacteraceae. The record is from RNAcentral.